AGGCGACGACGGGUAGCCGGCCUGAGAGGGCGACCGGCCACACUGGGACUGAGACACGGCCCAGACUCCUACGGGAGGCAGCAGUGGGGAAUAUUGCACAAUGGGCGAAAGCCUGAUGCAGCGACGCCGCGUGAGGGAUGACGGCCUUCGGGUUGUAAACCUCUUUCAGCAGGGAAGAAGCGCAAGUGACGGUACCUGCAGAAGAAGCACCGGCUAACUACGUGCCAGCAGCCGCGGUAAUACGUAGGGUGCGAGCGUUGUCCGGAAUUAUUGGGCGUAAAGAGCUCGUAGGCGGCCUGUCGCGUCGGAUGUGAAAGCCCGGGGCUUAACCCCGGGUCUGCAUUCGAUACGGGCAGGCUAGAGUGUGGUAGGGGAGAUCGGAAUUCCUGGUGUAGCGGUGAAAUGCGCAGAUAUCAGGAGGAACACCGGUGGCGAAGGCGGAUCUCUGGGCCAUUACUGACGCUGAGGAGCGAAAGCGUGGGGAGCGAACAGGAUUAGAUACCCUGGUAGU
Molecule: ribosomal RNA, 511 nt
Filed under: Kitasatospora aureofaciens
Lineage: Bacteria; Bacillati; Actinomycetota; Actinomycetes; Kitasatosporales; Streptomycetaceae
Description: bacterial SSU rRNA
Rfam family: Bacterial small subunit ribosomal RNA
Source: RNAcentral